Molecule: long non-coding RNA, 2994 nt
Filed under: Homo sapiens (human)
Lineage: Eukaryota; Metazoa; Chordata; Mammalia; Primates; Hominidae
Description: PREDICTED lncRNA (TCONS_00257607)
Source: RNAcentral
AAAGAGACAGAACAAUGUUAUAGGUGAGUGCAUGGACAAUGACCUCAAACAGCUAAGAUUCAAACCCCUGCGUUGAAUGAUUGAAUUGAAAUGAUUCAAUGAGCUAAUGUACAUAAAGCAUCCAGAAUGUUGCCUGGCACAAGGACUGUAUUGUCUGCUAGACCAUUUAUUCAAAGUGGGAGGAUGAUGUUCUAAAAGCCAAUGAUAAAGCUCAUGGCAAUGCAGGGUAUAUCUGAUGGCAUGGAAUGCUUUAGGAUGGCCAAGAUUGCCCAUCAAAUGCCAAGUCACCGAAGUUAUUAAUGGCUCUCCUACUAGGAGCCUGACAUCAUGGUGAGCAUCGAGAAAGGAAUAACCUAAGCUGAAGACACGCCUUUUCAGGAGGCCAAGUUCCACGUUCUGUGCAUGCUUUUGGCGAAAGUCAGGUGCCGAGACAUGAACUUUGGUCUUCUCUGCAAUCCAUCUGGAGCAUUCACUGACAACAUCGACUUUGAAGUUGCACUGACCUGGCCAGCCCUGCCACUUACCAGGCUGUGGCUUGCCUUUUCACUUCUUGUGUCCUGUUUAAGAAAUAUCUGCUAUCCCAAGCAUCUGGCAUCUUUCUUGACAUAUGUAGCAGUUGCUUUUUGACAGCUUGCUUCUUCAGUGAAUGAAUAAAUUAAUAAAGAGAAAUGUGAUGUUCAGUGAUCCAUUUUGCAGCAUUUAUUAAAUACUGGUGCAUAAUGAUGGAAUAAAUUUUAUACCGUAAGGAUAAACCAGUAUUCUGGACUAAGCCAACGUGGGAGACCCUAGGAGGCCUGUUUGAGAAAGUGACAUUUAAAUUGAGACUUGGCGGUGGCUGUGGCUACAUAUCUAAUUGCAAACUCCUAGAGAAGGGCUCAACAGUGAGUGCUGAGGCUGCACAGAGGAGGAAGGCAGCACAAUGAUGGAAGGCUUCCUAAAGAGAUAACACUAACAAAGUUGACCUUAGAAUUGGAGUGCCUGGGUUAGAACCCUGCUGGUACCACCUGCUUACUGCAUGCUUCUGAUGUGAGUUCAGGAGAAGACACUGGCAAGGACAGCAAAGAACAGGAGAACACUCUAGCUUCCCUGAUAGCAUUCAAGGUGCUGUCCAAAAGUUUCACUCUUAUUGCCCAGGCUGGAGUGGAAUGGCGCAAUCUUGGCUCACUGCAACCUCCGUCUUUCGGGUUCAAGCAAUUCUUCUGCCUCAGCCUCCCCAGUAGCUGGGACUACAGGCAUGCACCACCAUGCCUGGCUAAUUUUGUAUUUUUAGGAGAGACGGGGUUUCACCAUGUUGGUCAGGCUGGUCUUGAACUCCUGACCUCAGUUGAUCCACCGUCUUCAGCCUCCCAAAGUGCUGGGAAUACAGGCAUGAGCCACCAUGCCCAGCCUAAUUUUUCUUACAUGAGAUACGGUUUACCAAAGUCCACCUUCCACUUCUUCCUUCGUGUAUAUAUAGAGAUAGCAUUUCCUAGCUUCUCUUGCAAUUAAUUGUGGCCAUGAGCUUUGGGCAGUGGAAUGUGAAUGGAAGUGAUGUGGCCACUCCAUAUGUGUUUCUCUGUGUCCUUUCCCCUUCUAGCUGACUGUGAUGGCACCCUCCAGACAGACAGCGAUGCCACAUGUUCAAGAUGGCAGAAUCACUAUCAGCUUCAAUUCCUGAAUGACUGCAGAGCAAAAUUUCUUACCUGCAACAUACACUCUAUUUUCAGCCUCCCUGGACUGUUACAUAAUGAUACAUAAAAAUAUUUCUUGUGUUGAGGCAUCCCAAAUUUGAUUUAUUUGUCAUCACAGUCUAUCCUAUGAAUAUAUUUCUGAUCCAAAUAAUGCUAGAUUCAUGAGAGUUUAUAGUCCAGAGAUUUUUUUUUUUUUUUUGAGACAGAAUCUGUCUCCCAGGCUGGGGUGCAGUGGCAUAAUCUUAGCUCACUGCAACCUCUGCCUCCCGGGCUCAAGUGAUCCUCCCUCCUUAGCCUCCAUGAGUAGCUGGGACCACAGGUGUGCACCACCACACCCCGCUAAUUAUUUUGUAUUUUUUGCAGAGGGGGGUUUCACCACAUUGCCCAAGCUGGUCUCAAACUCCUAGACUUAAGGGAUCUGCCUGCCUUGGCCUCCCAAAAUGCUGAAAUUACACUUGUUAGCCAUAGUAAUAGUUCCUAGCCAUAGUCCGGAGAUAUUUUAAAAACUUUAGUGUGAGUUAUUUCUCUUUGCUAUAAUUCUCUCAUGCAUUUUGAAAACCUUUUCUGCCAUACAGUGGUUUUUGGGAAGUCCUUUUGGACAGACAUAUCACAGGAUGGAGAAACUAAAAAGAGAGAAUGCAUUAAAGAAAAAAUAGUACUUCGUAUUUCAGAAAUUACAAAAGGGUGUCAUGCCCCACAGCAUGGUGGGCAGUCAUUUGUAACCCACAGAACAUUGAGUUUCUAAAAUUUGAGUGUUUUUAACUUACGAAGGCCAACUUUACUGAUGAAGUGAUUACCCCAAAUAUGUGAAAUCCAUAUUUCAAGUACAAUAGUAGGAAAUUGGAAAUGGAUAGUUCAUUGUCAGUGUAUGAAAAACCUACUGAUUUUUUACGUUGAUUUUAUAUACUGCAACUUUAUUGAAUUCUCAACAAAUGGUGUUGAAAAAACUGGAUGUCCUCAUGAAGAAGAAUGAAAUUGAACACAUCACAUCCCAUAUACAAGAAUCAACUCAAAAUAUUUCCAAAUUCAAACAUUAUGAAGUUUGAGCUAUUUAGGAAGUUAAGGAGAUAAUCAGAUCAUUUCGUCAGACACCCUUAAGGCACUGAUGCUCUCAGUUGAUCUAGCAAAUAGGCAUCUGUCACAGAAAAUAGAGAAGAUAUCCCAAGAGAAGAGGAGAAACUCCACAAUGUGAAGAGAUUUCCAGAGGCAUCAGCACUCCGUCUGUCACUAUUGGCAUCCUGUGACAUGGUUUAGUUUAUGCGUGCUGGUUAGGCUGAUUUACAUAAUACAUUAUCUAGUUAUACCUUAAAUAAACCUCAAAACU